AGAAUUAAUAAUAAAAGUGAAAUGGCUUACAGAAGCAGAAAUUCCUCUGCUGACGACUCUUUGCCUUAUAAUUCCCCACAUAUCUUCUCCUAAGUAGCUUAAAACAAACUUAACUAACAAAACAAUAUCAAUCGAAUUGCUAGGUCAAACAAUUACCGCCUUAUCAGGACGAGUACUGAUAAUAAUAAAUAAUUUUUUUUUAUUAUAUGUGCCAGAAACCAGGAACUGAAUCCAAAACAUUGAUUUGCAUCGAAGGAUGUGAUUAUAAUGCAUAUAAUUGUACGUUAUCUAUAAGAGAGAUGGAGAAAUUAUUCAAACCUGCUAGGUACGGUGGCGCUGGGUUGGUGGAGUUUGAAUGUGAGAAUGGAUACCGAUCCUGGGCGGCCGAGAUAUGGAGUAUUAUGCAAUAUGUCUGUU
RNAcentral lists this long non-coding RNA (417 nucleotides) under Panax ginseng (ginseng). RNAcentral describes it as "long non-coding RNA (PGIN_LNC004235)". Lineage: Eukaryota; Viridiplantae; Streptophyta; Magnoliopsida; Apiales; Araliaceae. The record is from RNAcentral.